GACGAACGCUGGCGGCGUGCUUAACCCAUGCAAGUCGAACGGAAAGGCCCUUCGGGGUACUCGAGUGGCGAACGGGUGAGUAACACGUGGGUGAUCUGCCCUGCACUUUGGGAUAAGCCUGGGAAACUGGGUCUAAUACCGAAUAGGACCACGCGCUUCAUGGUGUGUGGUGGAAAGCUUUUGCGGUGUGGGAUGGGCCCGCGGCCUAUCAGCUUGUUGGUGGGGUAAUGGCCUACCAAGGCGACGACGGGUAGCCGGCCUGAGAGGGUGACCGGCCACACUGGGACUGAGAUACGGCCCAGACUCCUACGGGAGGCAGCAGUGGGGAAUAUUGCACAAUGGGCGCAAGCCUGAUGCAGCGACGCCGCGUGAGGGAUGACGGCCUUCGGGUUGUAAACCUCUUUCACCAGGGACGAAGCGUAAGUGACGGUACCUGGAGAAGAAGCACCGGCCAACUACGUG
Molecule: ribosomal RNA, 462 nt
Filed under: uncultured bacterium
Lineage: Bacteria
Description: partial 16S ribosomal RNA
Rfam family: Bacterial small subunit ribosomal RNA
Source: RNAcentral